This 81-nucleotide antisense RNA is filed under the name Photobacterium proteolyticum. RNAcentral's name for it is "antisense RNA of dnaA mRNA". It matches the Rfam family "antisense RNA of dnaA mRNA". Lineage: Bacteria; Pseudomonadati; Pseudomonadota; Gammaproteobacteria; Vibrionales; Vibrionaceae. The record is from Rfam by way of RNAcentral.
CCGGGCAUUGGGCUUGCGAUCCGCAAUGGCAUUGCCAACCGCAUGUAAAAGGUGCGUUUUACCCAGACCGGUUCCGCCAUA